RNAcentral lists this ribosomal RNA (464 nucleotides) under uncultured bacterium. Its description in RNAcentral is "bacterial SSU rRNA". It matches the Rfam family "Bacterial small subunit ribosomal RNA", at positions 30 to 483 of the family's 1533-position model. The record is from RNAcentral.
AUUGAACGCUGGCGGCAUGCUUUACACAUGCAAGUCGAACGGUAACAGGGAGCUUGCUCCGCUGACGAGUGGCGAACGGGUGAGUAAUGCAUCGGAACGUACCCAGUCGUGGGGGAUAACGUAGCGAAAGUUACGCUAAUACCGCAUACGUCCUGAGGGAGAAAGCGGGGGACCGUAAGGCCUCGCGCGAUUGGAGCGGCCGAUGUCGGAUUAGCUAGUUGGUAGGGUAAAGGCCUACCAAGGCGACGAUCCGUAGCGGGUCUGAGAGGAUGAUCCGCCACACUGGGACUGAGACACGGCCCAGACUCCUACGGGAGGCAGCAGUGGGGAAUUUUGGACAAUGGGCGAAAGCCUGAUCCAGCCAUGCCGCGUGAGUGAAGAAGGCCUUCGGUUGUAAGACUCUUCUAGCCGGAAACGAAAAUACGCGCGAGGAUAAUACUACUGCGUGGAUGACGGUACCGGAA